Molecule: long non-coding RNA, 767 nt
Filed under: Marmota monax (woodchuck)
Lineage: Eukaryota; Metazoa; Chordata; Mammalia; Rodentia; Sciuridae
Source: RNAcentral
GCGCAGCCCAGCGCGGGGCGGCCCUCUCCCGGGGCACCCGGAGGGUGGGGUCCCGAGCUGGGCGAGGCUUCCUGCGGGCACCCGCGCGCUGCGACUCCGCGCCUAGGCUCUGCAGCUUCUCUCCCCCCCCCCACUCCUGUGCCAACCCAGAAACGAAAAGACGACCCAGAAGAAAAGAAGAGGAAACAUCUUCUGUAGGGACCGUCUCGGGGAGGGCAGUGGCUGCGGCAGUUCUGGUGUGAAAUCCUGUUAGUGUACAGCCAUUUAUCACCCAAGCCCAGGACAGGCUACCUAGGGUGGAGUACUGGGAUUAUACCUGGAGGUUUGGGCGGUGGGGGUUCUUGUUUUUGUUUGUUCUUACUUGUUUGCUUGUUAGCCUGAAGGUGCCCUUACACACCUUCUAAACUUCACCUUAUGAAGAAACUAAAUCCAGUUAAUUUGUCCAAGGUCAUAGAGCCUAGUUGGAGAUUGAUUGCGUUUUUUCAUACCAAAUCAAAGCUGCGGCAGAUUUUAUUUUUAUUUUUGUUCAUGUGAAAAGAUGUGUUCUAAUAUGUAAUCCUAUGUGUACGGCACAGCAAGAGAUUAAUUAAAAACCUUUGGAGACAGUUGAUGGUUGCUAGGAGGGAAAUGGGGAGUGAAUGAUAAUAGGUGGGCUUUUCUUUCUUGGAGUGAAAACAGCAUUCUGAAGUUUGAUGGUAGUGGUCGAUGCACAGUCCUGACUAUUCUAAAAACCACUGAAUUGUACAUUUUAAAUUGGUGAACUUGAU